RNAcentral lists this ribosomal RNA (841 nucleotides) under Bacillus subtilis. RNAcentral describes it as "bacterial SSU rRNA". It matches the Rfam family "Bacterial small subunit ribosomal RNA", at positions 89 to 914 of the family's 1533-position model. Lineage: Bacteria; Bacillati; Bacillota; Bacilli; Caryophanales; Bacillaceae. The record is from RNAcentral.
AUGUUAGCGGCGGACGGGUGAGUAACACGUGGGUAACCUGCCUGUAAGACUGGGAUAACUCCGGGAAACCGGGGCUAAUACCGGAUGGUUGUUUGAACCGCAUGGUUCAGACAUAAAAGGUGGCUUCGGCUACCACUUACAGAUGGACCCGCGGCGCAUUAGCUAGUUGGUGAGGUAACGGCUCACCAAGGCGACGAUGCGUAGCCGACCUGAGAGGGUGAUCGGCCACACUGGGACUGAGACACGGCCCAGACUCCUACGGGAGGCAGCAGUAGGGAAUCUUCCGCAAUGGACGAAAGUCUGACGGAGCAACGCCGCGUGAGUGAUGAAGGUUUUCGGAUCGUAAAGCUCUGUUGUUAGGGAAGAACAAGUGCCGUUCAAAUAGGGCGGCACCUUGACGGUACCUAACCAGAAAGCCACGGCUAACUACGUGCCAGCAGCCGCGGUAAUACGUAGGUGGCAAGCGUUGUCCGGAAUUAUUGGGCGUAAAGGGCUCGCAGGCGGUUUCUUAAGUCUGAUGUGAAAGCCCCCGGCUCAACCGGGGAGGGUCAUUGGAAACUGGGGAACUUGAGUGCAGAAGAGGAGAGUGGAAUUCCACGUGUAGCGGUGAAAUGCGUAGAGAUGUGGAGGAACACCAGUGGCGAAGGCGACUCUCUGGUCUGUAACUGACGCUGAGGAGCGAAAGCGUGGGGAGCGAACAGGAUUAGAUACCCUGGUAGUCCACGCCGUAAACGAUGAGUGCUAAGUGUUAGGGGGUUUCCGCCCCUUAGUGCUGCAGCUAACGCAUUAAGCACUCCGCCUGGGGAGUACGGUCGCAAGACUGAAACUCAAAGGAAUUGAC